CUGUCUCAAAGAUUAGCCAUGCAUGUCUCAGUACAAGCCGAAUUAAGGUGAAACCGCGAAAGGCUCAUUAAAUCAUUAUGGUUCCUUAGAUCGUACCCACAUUUACUUGGAUAACUGUGGUAAUUCUAGAGCUAAUACAUGCAAACAGAGCUCCAACCGGAAACGGAAGGAGCGCUUUUAUUAGAUCAAAACCAAUAGGUGGCGGUCUCCGUCAUCGUACAACUUGGUGACUCUGAAUAACUUUACGCUGAUCGCACGGUCUCGCACCGGCGACGCAUCUUUCAAAUGUCUGCCUUAUCAACUGUCGAUGGUAGGUUCUGCGCCUACCAUGGUUGUAACGGGUAACGGGGAAUCAGGGUUCGAUUCCGGAGAGGGAGCCUGAGAAACGGCUACCACAUCCAAGGAAGGCAGCAGGCGCGCAAAUUACCCACUCCCGGCACGGGGAGGUAGUGACGAAAAAUAACGAUACGGGACUCAUCCGAGGCCCCGUAAUCGGAAUGAGUACACUCUAAACCCUUUAACGAGGAUCAAUUGGAGGGCAAGUCUGGUGCCAGCAGCCGCGGUAAUUCCAGCUCCAAUAGCGUAUAUUAAAGUUGUUGCGGUUAAAAAGCUCGUAGUCGAAUCUGUGUCCCGCGCCGCCGGUUCAUCGUUCGCGGUGUUAACUGGCGUGCCGCGGGACGUCCUGCCGGUGGGCUUAGCUCGAGAGGGCGGCCCAACUCAAUCCCGCCGCGGUGCUCUUCAUUGAGUGUCGAGGUGGGCCGGCACGUUUACUUUGAACAAAUUAGAGUGCUUAAAGCAGGCUAAAACUUCGCCUGAAUACUGUGUGCAUGGAAUAAUGGAAUAGGACCUCGGUUCUAUUUUGUUGGUUUUCGGAACCCCGAGGUAAUGAUUAAUAGGAACGGAUGGGGGCAUUCGUAUUGCGACGUUAGAGUGAAAUUCUUGGAUC
This 946-nucleotide ribosomal RNA is filed under the name Cuemus sp. COL884. RNAcentral's name for it is "SSU rRNA". It matches the Rfam family "Eukaryotic small subunit ribosomal RNA", at positions 31 to 926 of the family's 1831-position model. The record is from RNAcentral. Lineage: Eukaryota; Metazoa; Arthropoda; Insecta; Coleoptera; Tenebrionidae.